RNAcentral lists this long non-coding RNA (1015 nucleotides) under Anas platyrhynchos platyrhynchos (common mallard). RNAcentral's name for it is "lncRNA (ENSAPLG00000019868.1)". The record is from RNAcentral. Lineage: Eukaryota; Metazoa; Chordata; Aves; Anseriformes; Anatidae.
CAAAUCUUGCUCCUCCUGGGGCAUCUGCCCCUGUUUCUCAACUGGGGGGGGGUAAAAAAAAUAAGGGGGGGCAAUUAGUGGUCCUCGUGGGGCAGAUUUUUGGGGUCCCUUCCUCCUUUUCAAACCCGUUUUUUGGGGUUUUCUUCCUCCCACCAAACCCCAAUUUUUGGGGUCCCCUCCUCCUUCUAGACCCAAAUUUUUGGGGGUCUUUUCCUCCUUUUACACCCACACUUUUGGGGUUUUCUCCUUUUAUACCCAGAUUUUUCAGGGACCCCUUCCUCCUUUCCCACCCAGAUUUUUCGGGGACCCCUUCCUCCUUUUCCACACAGAUUUUUUGGGGUCCCUUCCUCUUUUUACACCCACAUUUUUGGCCUCCCUCCUUUUUAAACCCACAUUUUUAGGACCCCUUCCUCCUUUCCCACCCAGAUUUUUUGGGGUUCCCCCCCCCCCAAAUCCCGGUACCUAUGGGGUCCCCGCAGGCGUCGCAGUACUCGGCGUGCCGCGCCUGGUAGCAGCGGCAGCAGUAGGGCCGCCCGCGCCGCAUCACGUAGCGCCGCCCGCCCAGCGGCGCCUCGCACUCGAAGCAGCAGAAGUGGCGCACGUGCCAGUGCCGGCCCUCGGCCUCCGUGCACUGCGGGGCGAAAAUGAUCUGAAACGGGGAAAAAAGAGAGAAAAAAUGUUAGUUUGGGGGCAAAGAGUGAGUUUUGGGGGAAAAAACCUGAAGUUUGGGGGAAAAAAUAGCAAUUUUGGGGGGAAAAAGUCUAUCUUAGUAGGGAAAUGUCAAUUUUAGGAGGGAGAUAUCAGUUUCAGCAGAAAAAAUAUUAAGUUUGGGGGGGGAAAAAGGUCGACUUUGGGGGAAAAAGGUCGAAAGAAAGUCAUUUUUUAGGGAAAAACUCAAUUUUAGGGAAAAAAAGUAAAUGUAGGGGUAAAAAUUUCAGGGAAAAAAUGUCAAUUCUGUUUUUUGUAUAAAGGAAAAGGGGAGAAUAAAGUCAUUUGUUUAUUUAAUAAAGGAACA